This 752-nucleotide long non-coding RNA is filed under the name Pan troglodytes (chimpanzee). Its description in RNAcentral is "long non-coding RNA NONPTRT014492". Lineage: Eukaryota; Metazoa; Chordata; Mammalia; Primates; Hominidae. The record is from RNAcentral.
CUUCAAGAUCCUCACUCACUGAGUGAGCUCUCUUCCUUGAAGCACUCAGAAGAUGAAGAAAAACCUGAGAUUGUGAACCAAGAAUCACUAACAGAAAGUACUAGCUUGAAACAUAAGCUGAGAAACUUGGAAGACAAAGACAUACCAGAAGGUAGUUUUGCUAAGUCACAACAAUCAAGAUUGGAAGAAGAGGUUGCUCCGGGAUCCCCUUUCUCAAUAACAGAAGAAAGAGAGUUGCCAGAAGGAAUUUCCACUUCAUCCCUAGAAGUUGUGCCAGAGAACUUGAACGGUUCUGCCAUUCUCCCAACAUUUGAAAACUUCACUAAAAAACGGAAAAGAAAAUAUGAGCUUAGGUACAGAAAGCGUCCGCUUAAUUCAGAAAAUGCAAAGAAAGCACCGGAUUGCCUAAUAAAACUUUUAAACCAGAUGCAACUGUUCAGACUCAAUAAACUAGAGCGCUUUCAAAAUUUGGUUCUUCAAGAGUUGAGCAGUCUUAAGCAGGAUAUUCAGGCCCUGGAACACCUUGAGAAGGAGGUUCUGGAAUUCUGGGGGAAACAGUCUGCUGAUCUGCAGUCUUUCUGUGAUCUGCAAGUGCUGAGGUUCAAUUCAACUCAGACUUCAUAAGAAAGCCAAAGCCUGGUUUUAUGAUUGCAGCCCUCAGGUAGGUGCAAAGAUUUGCAUUGUUCAGUGGAUGUGAAUCGGGGUCAGGGCAGGGAGCAAGCUCUAAAAGAUACUGUAAUGCUUUGUUCAUA